This 207-nucleotide unclassified non-coding RNA is filed under the name Hevea brasiliensis (rubber tree). The record is from RNAcentral. Lineage: Eukaryota; Viridiplantae; Streptophyta; Magnoliopsida; Malpighiales; Euphorbiaceae.
GCAGGAAUUGGAUACCGGAGCUAUCUCCACUGGCUAAUGUGAUUGUUCGUAGAUGCUCAAAAAUCCUUGGCAUCUCGGCAACUGAGCUGCAGGAAAGCUUCCUUCAAUCUGAAGGCUUCUGAUUCAAUAAAGCAUCCAUGCCGGUAUGCAAGGAACUUUUUGGAAUACUGCUGCUUCAGAGCACUGGCUCUAUCCAUUCAAUUAACG